AUUCCAGCUCCAAUUGCGUAUAUUAAAGUUGUUGCAGUUAAAAAGCUCGUAGUUGAAUUUCGGGAUCAAUAUAUCGGUCGUGCCUUGGUACGUACUGGUAUCAUUGGUUUCUCCUUUCUGACGAACCAUGAUGUCAUUAAUUUGGUGUUAUGGGAAGUUAGGACUGUUACUUUGAAAAAAUUAGAGUGUUUAAAGCAGGCUUUAGCUUGAAUACAUUAGCAUGGAAUAAUGAAAUAGGACGUUCGAACCUAUUUUGUUGGUUUCUAGGAUCAACGUAAUGAUUAAUAGGGAUAGUUGGGGGCAUUAGUAUUCAAUUGUCAGAGGUGAAAUUCUUGGAUUUAUUGAAGACUAACUACUGCGAAAGCAUUUGCCAAGGAUGUUUUCAUUAAUCAAGAACGAAGGUUAGGGGAUCGAAGACGAUCAGAUACCGUCGUAGUCUUAACCAUAAACUAUGCCGACUAGGGAUCGGAUGAUGUUAAUUUUUUAAUGACUCAUUCGGCGCCUUACGGGAAACCAAAGUGUUUGGGUUCCGGGGGGAGUAUGGUCGCAAGGCUGAAACUUAAAGGAAUUGACGGAAGGGCACCACCAGGGGUGGAGCCUGCGGCUUAAUUUGACCCAACACGGGGAAACUCACCAGGUCCAGACAUAGUAAGGAUUGACAGAUUGAGAGCUCUUUCUUGAUUCUAUGGGUGGUGGUGCAUGGCCGUUCUUAGUUGGUGGAGUGAUUUGUCUGGUUAAUUCCGUUAACGAACGAGACCUUAACCUGCUAAAUAGCUAGGCUUAACUUUGUUAGGUCGUCAGCUUCUUAGAGGGACUAUCGGUGUUUAACCGAUGGAAGUUUGAGGCAAUAACAGGUCUGUGAUGCCCUUAGAUGUUCUGGGCCGCACGCUCGCUACACUGAUGAAGUCAACGGGUUCAUUUCCUUUAUCGGAAGAUAUGGGUAAUCUUUUGAAACUUCAUCGUGCUGGGGAUAGAGCAUUGCAAUUAUUGCUCUUCAACGAGGAAUCCCUAGUAAGCACAAGUCAUCAGCUUGUGCUGAUUACGUCCCUGCCCUUUGUACACACCGCCCGUCGCUACUACCGAUUGAAUGGCUUAGUGAGACCCUCGGAUUGACGUUCAUCGGCUGUAAAAGGCUCUUGUCUGUUGAAGAGUUGGUCAAACUUGGUCAUUUAGAGGAAGUAAAAGUC
Molecule: ribosomal RNA, 1187 nt
Filed under: metagenome
Description: SSU rRNA
Rfam family: Eukaryotic small subunit ribosomal RNA
Source: RNAcentral